GACAGAGGGUGCAAACGUUGUUCGGAAUUACUGGGCGUAAAGCGUGUGUAGGCGGCUCUAUAAGUCGGAUGUGAAAGCCCCGGGCUCAACCUGGGAAGUGCACUCGAAACUGUAGAGCUUGAGUAUCGGAGAGGUUGGUAGAAUUCUCGGUGGAGAGGUGAAAUUCGUAGAUAUCGAGGGGAAUACCAGUGGCGAAGGCGGCCAACUGGACGAAUACUGACGCUGAGACACGAAAGCGUGGGGAGCAAACAGG
RNAcentral lists this ribosomal RNA (253 nucleotides) under uncultured bacterium. RNAcentral's name for it is "partial 16S ribosomal RNA". It matches the Rfam family "Bacterial small subunit ribosomal RNA", at positions 524 to 776 of the family's 1533-position model. The record is from RNAcentral.